RNAcentral lists this ribosomal RNA (1110 nucleotides) under Triticum aestivum (bread wheat). RNAcentral's name for it is "partial small subunit ribosomal RNA". Lineage: Eukaryota; Viridiplantae; Streptophyta; Magnoliopsida; Poales; Poaceae. The record is from RNAcentral.
AUGGGUUCAGAAGAGGACAUACGUGGAAAAACGGUGAAAAGAAAGGGACCGAGGCUUCAGCUGACUAGCCUGCCAACGGUGCCCGUGGGAUUCAAGGGUUUUCAGAACCUUAAAUCGACUUACCUAGCAGACACAAAUAUUACUGAUGAUGGUCUUCAACAUUUGAUGUCCAACUGCAGUGUUCUAGAGUUCCUUGGAAUUGCAGGUUGUGCAAUGCUUACAACGUUGCAAAUAUCUCAUCCUUCAAACACACUUAAGCAUUUGCAUGUAUAUGACUGCUGUUUGCUUCAAGGGAUGGAGUUAAACUUUGGUCUGGUAAGACUUGAGUACAGAGGUCUGCCGAUUGUGUUAUCGCCUCCUGGAACCUUGCUUCUAACAAAUAUGUGCAUAAAGUUGGAGGGUAUUUGUACUUCUCUUGAAUACAUCUUCACCAAACUUCGUGAUAAUGUGCCUCGUCUCGAGGUUCUGAAUCUAAAAUGCCAGGAGUAUAAGAUGACUACAUUGCCAGGAAAGCUGCAUGAGUUUGUUUAUUUGAAGCACCUGAUAUUGGAGUUAACUUUUGAGAGCUGUCAGAGAGGGAAGACUGAUAUCCUUCAAUUUGCCUGCCUUCUGGUUGCUGCUCCUUCCUUAGAAAAGCUUGAAUUUCAUAUGUGGCUGCGCUGGGGUCGGGAACGGUAUAGAGCCGAGGACGGGAGUCUCCGGAGCCUUCCUUCCCAGCCACACUCCCAUCUCAGGUCGGUCGAUAUCACGGGGUUUUACGGCGAGAAGGACCGGCUGGAGCUUGUGCUCCACAUCCUCAGAGAUUCCGUUGCGCUGGAGUCGAUGAAGGUAGAUCCAAGCCCUGUGGUUGCUGCUGAUGUUAACCGACUUGGGGGACUGGGGAGCAUGCAUGUUCCUCAUUUUGUGGAUGGCUAUGAAGUCGCCCUUGAGUUCCUCUGCAGCAGAGACCGUCGCAAUGUUGUCCAUGGCGCGAGCCCCGAUAUCAUCGAGAGGGCCCGACGUGGGUCUUCCCCCCUGAGUCCACGCAACAGUAGUGCAAAGGCAUCCUGGCAACGUGUGAAGAGGGUGAAGCGAUUGUCGCGGCCUUCCUCCAGCCGAGGAGCUUCCUGA